GAGCUUGCUCCCUUAGGUCAGCGGCGGACGGGUGAGUAACACGUGGGUAACCUGCCUGUAAGACUGGGAUAACUCCGGGAAACCGGGGCUAAUACCGGAUGCUUGAUUGAGCCGCAUGGUUCAAUUAUAAAAGGUGGCUUUCAGCUACCACUUACAGAUGGACCCGCGGCGCAUUAGCUAGUUGGUGAGGUAACGGCUCACCAAGGCGACGAUGCGUAGCCGACCUGAGAGGGUGAUCGGCCACACUGGGACUGAGACACGGCCCAGACUCCUACGGGAGGCAGCAGUAGGGAAUCUUCCGCAAUGGACGAAAGUCUGACGGAGCAACGCCGCGUGAGUGAUGAAGGUUUUCGGAUCGUAAAACUCUGUUGUUAGGGAAGAACAAGUACCGUUCGAAUAGGGCGGCACCUUGACGGUACCUAACCAGAAAGCCACGGCUAACUACGUGCCAGCAGCCGCGGUAAUACGUAGGUGGCAAGCGUUGUCCGGAAUUAUUGGGCGUAAAGCGCGCGCAGGCGGUUUCUUAAGUCUGAUGUGAAAGCCCCCGGCUCAACCGGGGAGGGUCAUUGGAAACUGGGGAACUUGAGUGCAGAAGAGGAGAGUGGAUUCCACGUGUAGCGGUGAAAUGCGUAGAGAUGUGGA
This 642-nucleotide ribosomal RNA is filed under the name uncultured Bacilli bacterium. RNAcentral describes it as "bacterial SSU rRNA". It matches the Rfam family "Bacterial small subunit ribosomal RNA", at positions 76 to 702 of the family's 1533-position model. The record is from RNAcentral. Lineage: Bacteria; Bacillati; Bacillota; Bacilli.